UCACUAGAGAAAGGCACUGAACCUGGACUGCAUUUCUAAGCUAAUUAGAAUCUGAUAUAUAUCGUUCGGGUGGGUUCAGCAGGAUCUAUACCAUACGAGUAGUUCUGAGAUCAACUUUACAAAAACUUCCUUCACUUGGAAGUUGGGUUGUCCCCAGAUCCCAAUAACAAUGUAACAACUUUUUUCUGACUUGUAUAACCACCAGCCACUAAUUAACUGUGAUUUUUUUUUCCAUUGGUUUGCUGCACAGGCACAUCCACAAAUAAUGCGUCUCCCUCUCUGAUGGGUUUGCAGUUUUGAAGUGAAGAGAAAACACUGAGACAGUCUAGGAGACAUACAUCAAUCAGGCCCUUAGAUCCUCUUCCUGAAGGGCCGCUACAUCAUUCUCCACGGCUCCUGUCGCCUCCUGUCAACGCAGCAGCUUCAGUAUUGAGCUUAAGUUAUUCAGGACCUCCCGUUUUUCUACAAUACUAACAACUCUAAAAAUAAUCAGUCCCCAGCACACUACAUUGACUCUUCAGUCUCUUCACAAUCACCAUCAUGGACAUAGGUAGGGAUCUGCUUUUGUGCACUCUGGCAGCCAUGAUGGAUUUUAGAUUUUGCAACACAAAACAGAAAGGGCAAGUGACAAAGUAAUGAUCCAUCCAACCAGGCUGUCAAAAGUGGUUGGACAAUUGGUAGUAUUGAUCCCAGGCAAGACUGAAGCAGCCUGAUCAUCUGCCCAGAUUCGUUGGUUAUUUGGCUGUGCUAGGCCAACUGAGAAGCUGGUAUAUUGAUCCAUGGACGCACACGGAGACCAAAGCAUUAUUGGACAGACUUGACUCUAAAUGCCACAGCGUGGUGAUCACUCCAGCAAGAAUAGAGGAUUCCUCUGGAAAAAUGCAUGGGUGUGGAAGUUUCCGGAAGGUCUUUUCUCAUCAUUUCUCAACUAGCUCUUCCAAUGAUUCAAAAACAGCAACCAGAAUAGAAUAGAGAGCAGCAUUUACUUAACAGGUCUUAUGCAUUCCUAGAUGUGAACAAAUACAGCAAGGCACGGCAGAUUACAGAACGUGUGCAGUUGGCACAUUGCAAUAACAGGGAUCUCCUGGGAGGCACCGUUUCAUGCUGUGUGUGCAGUCAUAUCUCAAUUAACAAAAAUCCCUUCUCGCCCACAGUGCACUGACAGACUUUGUGAUUUGUUGAAAGGAACAGCUGUCGCGUUUGCAAAGGUAUUUGGAUUUGAAUCGAAAUAUGAGAAAUGACUUGCUUCCCAUUCCAGCAGCAACAAUAGGCUCGUUGUGGCAAUGGUCAACAUUUAGAAGGUAUUUUGGCAGGAGAAAUGCAAAUGCUUAAGUCCAGUCCUUUAAUUUAAUUUUUUUAUUUGGCCACUUUAAAAUGGCAUCAUUGGACAUCUGGAAACAAAUAUGUUGCUCCUCCAAAUAUUAUUUCACAGUUGAGCAAAGAAGCAAAAUAACAUGCUGUAUCUGAACCAUGAUGAAAAACCCAAGAUUUUGAUGGAGCUGAAAUUGUCACAGCCCUGUGAACCGGGGUUAUCACACACUUAAUCCUGUCAGAUAUAUUGAUGAAAUCACAGGGCUACUAGUCACAUGACCGAAUGUGUAGAUAUGUUACUACCCUGAGAAUGAGUGUCUCUUUGUGUGGAGGACUUCCUUAUCUGGUUUCAAAUGGCUGUUUCAUUUAGCCAGAGGAAUCACCUCACGAAACCACAUCAACUCUGGCAUUUGUUUAUGACAAACAGCCAUUGGCAAAAAAAAAGAGCCUGCUAUGUCCCUGGGAGCAGGAGCCUUGGUGAACGAUUAACUCGAGAAGCAGUAAAUCCUCUUAGUAAUCACGGGAUUGUUUAAACAGCCCAAAGUCCAAACAGCUUCAACUCGGUUGUACAAAAGGCAAAAGGGGUUAGGGGGGCUGUCUUUGGCCUUGACAGACCACCCUGGAAUAACCAACCAUUCUUCUCAGGGAGACAGUGGGAAGUAGAGAGUGGGAAAGAGAAUCAUGUCUUCCUUGGCGAUGUUCCUGAAGGAGCUUCCAGGAUGGUUCCUGUGGGGAGGGAUCUUUCUGCCAGUCGCCCUGCUCUUGCUGCUGGUCAUAGCUCAUCUGGAGUGGAAACUGCGGGAAACAGAUGCAGAGCUGUUGGCAGCACCACAUCCUCGGGAAACAGCGUACCGCUUCUGCUACGGCACGCGUCUGCCACCACGGCGCCGGGCUGGGCAGCGCACGCACACCUGACGGACAACCGGAGGCGGGAGGAGACUGGCAGAGAGGGCAAUAGCUCUGGAUUGUGUGAGCCACAGGGAUCUUUGGAUGCAGUGGUGAAUUUCUUUUUUUACGACAGUGGCUUGGAUGACUUCCUUGGAGAGCACGUUCAAAGCACAAGUAUUGGUCGUCUGUUGGUAUGGUCUAAAACUUCAGGUGAAGGUUGCAACAAGACCCUGGGACUGGGAACACAGGGGUCCAUUACAUGUGGAUGGAGGGGGAUCCUACAGGUUGCGUUAAAGGGUCAAAAGCCAGUGGAUGUUACAGCAGCCAAGCAUGGUUCUGGCUAUUCAGCUUCCAGGAUAAGAGGCUAUGUGAGCAAAAUGGUUGCUGGGAGGCUGGAGGUCUAACAGUGUUGUCUUACAUGAGUGUGGGCACAGUCUGCCCCCUGGCCUGGAGGGGAAGAGUAAGCCUCUUAUUGGACUGCCUCCGGAUGAACAAACACUCCCACCAGCAAGCAGUACAGACAAUGGCUCGAGUAAAGCGGUGUUUGUGUGCAAGACUGAAUAAGGACCAGCUUUGUAUGUAUGUGUGGGCUUGUGCGGGCGUACAGGGGUAAGAGGAUAAGCCGAAAGUGAAGUCCCCGAAAUGGAAUGUCUGUGAGGAAAUGUGUGUGUGGUCUGGCCUUUUAAGAAUGUUACGUUUGUACGAGUUGAUCUUCAUGAAAAAGGGGGAUAAAUAACAGCAGAGGACAUAACCCGUUUCUCAGUUAUUCAAACCGGAGUAACGUACGGUAAACAUCUGUGUAUUUAUUGUGACCAAGAAAACAAACAAACAAAAACAGAACACACCUGGCCAGAGACAUUUAGAGAAUAAACAAACUUUUAUUUUGAACAGUGUUACACUGAAUUUGAGGGCAUGGGCUUGUGGAAGAAGGGUAAAAACACGAAAAACACAAAUGUUUUCUUUCAAGCUGCUAAACUCCAACUAUCAUCUGCUAUACACAGGGUCCAAAGAGCAAGUUGUCACCGUUGAAGGUGUGUUUUCUUUUUUUCCUCCAUUUCAGAUAGCAAAGAGCGCAAAAGCAGAGAAGGGAAGCUAGCUCUGGUAUCUACAUGUAAAAGAUUGAGACUGGUGAUUCAUUUUUUGUUGUGUGUGUCGCUAAUUCAUUUAGUCAAAAAAGAUCCCCACGAAAUAUAUUAAAAAUAUUUAAGAGGAAAAACAAACCCAUCUCAUUGACAUCUAAAUUGGUUUUACAGAUAAAGACAGUUUAAAAGAUAAAAAAAAAAAAAAAAAGGAAAAAAAAAUCUACAAAUAUAUAUCUGAUUAAAGAAGCCAGAGAAUUACAGAAAAAGCAAAAAAGUUUCCAAGCUGCCUAAUUUUGUUUCGUGAUUUUUUUUCCCCCAUCAUUUUUUUCAAACAAUUACUUGUUAUUGUUUUGUUUCAGAGGGAGGUAGUUGUGGAAGCACCUCCCUGAUGUGGAAUGUUUUUUAAGCGUUUUUUUCCUCAACUGCAUAGAAAGAUAAUGUUGUUGGCACUGUAGUGCAAAUGUACAAAAUGACACAGUGCUCCGUCCUUUUAACUGGUCCCUUGGAAACACACCAAUGACUGAAAUGUUCAGGAAGUUAUGUUUUUGUGUCCCUCUCCCCCCUCUUAACUCAAUCCAACCCCCCCCCCCCCCCCCCCAAAAAAAGAUACAAAAAUUGCUUGGCCCAACAAAAAAUACCAUACUGUACCAAACCAAGUCCAAAGCUAGCUUGUCAGCUCAAUCACUCAAAAAAAAACAAAAAAACAAGUCCAACAUUGUGAAUCCAGCGAUGAAUUGUAAAAAUGCUGUUUCGUUUGUAUUUUUUUAGUGUUUUUUUGUUUUGUUUUGUUUGUUUCCCCUUCAAUACAUGACCCCCCCACACUGUACACACUAGGAAUGUGGUGAAUACUACAACAAUAAAAAAUAACCACUUACGUAAAA
Clupea harengus (Atlantic herring) is the source of this 4162-nucleotide long non-coding RNA. RefSeq lists it as uncharacterized. The transcript is spliced from 2 exons. The record is from RefSeq and is a predicted model, not a curated record. NCBI's taxonomy places the organism in Eukaryota, Metazoa, Chordata, Actinopteri, Clupeiformes, Clupeidae.